UUCGAUUCGUUUAACUCGAAAUUUGAAUUUUUUUUCAAUUUUUUCGAAUCGAAUCGAGUUUUGCUCACCCCUACUUACUCCUACUUUCAAUGAAUUAUAGACGACAUCUAAAGGAUUCUAUAGGAAGCUACGGAACCUAAAUCUUCCUUCUAAAAUCAAAAUUACAAUAUGGCGAAUAUCGAAAAAUUUUAUCCCUACUUUAUCUAAUAUGUAUUACAAGCGACUAGUGGCGCAUGCGAUAUGCCCAAUAUGCGGGGGAGGGGUUGAAAUGACGGACCAUGUUUUUCGAAGUUGCCCUGCUUCAAAGGAUGUUUGGAAAUUAGUAGGGUACUCGUGGAUAAUGUCAAAUACAACUCAGGAAACGUUUGAAUGGCUUACCUGGGUAUUCAGUGUAAGUUCUGUUCUUCAACGGAGGGUUUUUUGUUGUGCCCUUUGGGCCUUGUGGAUUGAAAGGAAUAAGCGUGUGCAUGAGAACUCCGCAAAAUCGGGCAGAGAGGUAGCCAAUUUCAUUCAAAGUUACAUUAAAGAACUAGAAGGUAUCGAAGAACGAGGGCUUACCAGGGGAGUUAUUAGCGCUAAACUGGAACCUCCUUCGGGGGUUUGUAUUAAAAUAAACUUCGAUGCGGAUUUUGAUUGGGCACAUUCUAGGUCGAGGUCGGGGAUAGUGGCCAAAAACGCCCUGGGGAAGGUGGUUGCCUCUAGAUCGGUCAUACAUGCAAAUGUUGGGGCGGCUUUUGCAGCGGAAGCUCUUGCCCGUUUAUGGGCAGUACAAACGGGGUUAGAUUUGGGUUUCACAGAUAUGAUUAUAGAAGGAGACUCUUUAUCAGUUAUAAAGAAAUCCAAGUCAGAUUCACAAGACAAAUCAGAAAUAAGUACUUAUACCCGGAAUAUAAAACGAAAUAUCAACAGUUUUCGGUCUCUACGAAUCAAACAUGCAAGACGCUCGGCUAAUCAACUUGCUCAUGUAAUAGCUACUGAAAGUUUGAGAAAUGGUGAAGAGUUUUACCUGGAAGAGAAGGUCCCGAGAUUCGUUGUGAGGAUAAUGGAAGAAGAAUGGAUUAGAGCCCGAUUAAGGAGGAAGAUGGUAAAAGCUCUUCGAUCCCUGGGAUAAAGAAAGCUUAGAAAUGUGUUUUUGAGAGAAAAGAUCGUUGG
Molecule: long non-coding RNA, 1152 nt
Filed under: Gossypium raimondii (Peruvian cotton)
Lineage: Eukaryota; Viridiplantae; Streptophyta; Magnoliopsida; Malvales; Malvaceae
Description: long non-coding RNA (GRAI_LNC002385)
Source: RNAcentral